CUUGACAUCCAGAGAACUUGGCAGAGAUGCCUUGGUGCCUUCGGGACCUCUGAGACAGGUGCUGCAUGGCUGUCGUCAGCUCGUGUUGUGAAAUGUUGGGUUAAGUCCGCAACGAGCGCAACCCCUAUCCUUUGUUGCCAGCGAUUCGGUCGGGAACCCAAAGGAGACUGCCGGUGAUAAACCGGAGGAAGGUGGGGAUGACGUCAAGUCAUCAUGGCCCUUACGAGUAGGGCUACACACGUGCUACAAUGGCGCAUACAAAGAGAAGCGACCUCGCGAGAGCAAGCGGACCUCAUAAAGUGCGUCGUAGUCCGGAUCGGAGUCUGCAACUCGACUCCGUGAAGUCGGAAUCGCUAGUAAUCGUAGAUCAGAAUGCUACGGUGAAUACGUUCCCGGGCCUUGUACACACCGCCCGUCACACCAUGGGAGUGGGUUGCAAAAGAAGUAGAUAGCUUAACCUUCGGGAGGGCGUUUACCACUUUGUGAUUCAUGACUGGGGUGAAGUCGUAACAAGGUAAGCGUAGCGAG
RNAcentral lists this ribosomal RNA (528 nucleotides) under uncultured bacterium. Its description in RNAcentral is "bacterial SSU rRNA". It matches the Rfam family "Bacterial small subunit ribosomal RNA", at positions 980 to 1509 of the family's 1533-position model. The record is from RNAcentral.